CCAUAGGCAGUGUUUUCCACGUUCUCUAGUUGCUAAGAGCCCUGCCACUUUCCUCUGUGACGACAAUCUGAGAUUUCGUAGCCAAGCUUACUGAGAUUCUCAUUUUUGAAGGAAGCCAAUAACUGGGAGAAAGAUAAACAUUUACUUAAGGUGUAAGGCACGAAGACAGAUGAGUGAACGACUUAGACGUCAGAGGAUUUCAUCAUUUGGGAAUGAGCUGUGUUCACUGACAAAACGUUGUAAAGAUGUAUCGUGUUUCAUCCAGAACACAGACGACUAUACGGGAUAAUGCAGAAUCCGGGAUGAGGGAUUUUGAAUAUCAGUUUCCAAGGUUACAGUGGAGAGACGAAAGCCGGAACUCGCAGGGCGUGGCGGGC
Molecule: long non-coding RNA, 377 nt
Organism: Limulus polyphemus (Atlantic horseshoe crab)
Lineage: Eukaryota; Metazoa; Arthropoda; Merostomata; Xiphosura; Limulidae
Exons: 5
Source: RefSeq, a predicted model, not a curated record